ACUGAAGGAAUAUAUAUAUUAUAAUGACACAAAGAUAUAACAGUAUAUGGAAAACACCCUUGCAUACAUCUUCUCCUUCAGCUACAAAGGAUACCACCUCGGAUCUGUCAUCGUUAUUGGACUGAAUGAGGAAACAGUUAAGCAUACAGGAAUUAUCUAGAAGAAUUAAUGGAGCGACAUGUAGGAUCACAUACUAAUAAACUUGGUCAGUGUCAUCUACACUCGGUCAUUCAGUCUCCCCUCAUUAGAUUUUCUAAAAGAGAGCCUCCUCUCUGAAUUCUAUUAACACAAACCAAUUGUUCAUCUACAUCAUAAAGAAAACUAAGAAGGGAAGAAGAAACAGAAAUAGGAACAUUCAGGUAACCCCAGAGGGCACCCAAAACCCACAGAUAUCUAGGAUCUGGAGUUUGCCCUUUCAGCGGCUGCGCAACAGAGACAAAAUAUUUCAUUGCUACUCCCUCCGUUCCAAAAUAGAUGACUCAACUUUGUAACUUUGUACUAAAGUUAAUACAAAGUAGAGUCAUCUAUUUUGGAACGAAGGGAGUAGAUGAGAGUGAACAUACUCGCAAAAGCAGUCACCAACAAGCAGGAACAGUCCACAAAUGGCAAGAGUGGCUUUAAAAGUUUGAUUUCUCUGUGCACUUUAAUUGCUUUUAAGCUGCCAGUCAAACGACUUCAGGUCACCAUCUUUGAGAUGCUCAGAAGACUUGAUUUUUGUCACUUGCUCGAAGAGCUUUACUCCCCAAAUCAGCGCUGAUCUGCAAAAUUGACCAUGAGUUUAACCAAAUAACAAACCACAUGAAUCAGAACAGAAGUAUCAGACACCGCUUUUAUUCUCAAAACAGGCCUCAUUCAUAAAUCUCCAAAUCUUCCAUAAUACAGCAGCCAACCCCACUGCGGUACAAAAAAUUGUCCUGGUGUUUUCAAUCUAAGCCCUCAGAACCUAAAGAAGUCAUGAUCAGUAUCAGGUACAAUUUUUCAGAUUAAAAGUGAGCUGCAAAAUGGUUCGGAUCAACUAAGUAUCCCAUCUCCGCCAUGUAACUAACAUGCUUUAUUCCUGUUCCACAUUUGCAAAGUAUCUCCCCAAAGGGUCCUUGUAAAUCGCUCUGAUUCCCAUAUGAUUUUAGUUUUAAUGUAGCUGAUUUGAACAUUAACAAAAUAGUCACCGAAAUAAGUUUGACAUAUUGAACAGAAAUAUAGUUUGUGGAUAAUAUGCUUGGGACGGAUUCGAUAAGAGAACAACAAUCAAAUAAUAUGACUUGUACCACUCGCACUUAAAACUGACUAAUAGAAAGGAAACCAGGAAUAAUUUUCCGACAAUGUGAUCAUCAGCGAUUCAACAUCAAACACAGCUACCCUACAGUUUGCGCUCAGUAUGAUCAGGACGAAUUCGACAUGACAACCACAAUUGAACAUGACGACUUGCAGGAUUCACACAUAAACUACAUAACAGAUAGGAAGCCAACUUAAUAAACUGAUAUACAGUUCUCUAGCCACAUUAUCAGGAUGAGCUGAAUCAGAAGUUGAGAACAACCACAAUUGAUCACAUUUCAGUUGCAACCUUGAAGCUUAAACUGCUCAACAGAAACAAAACAACCUGAUAUUAGUAGCUCAGAAGAAGCCAACAGUAGUAGACUAACGAUGAUGGAUUUGUCCAUUUUGCAUCGCAUCACCAUCAAGAGCCACAUCAGAGAUCAGUGAGUCCUUGCUAGCGAUAACAAUCUG
Molecule: long non-coding RNA, 1725 nt
Filed under: Triticum aestivum (bread wheat)
Lineage: Eukaryota; Viridiplantae; Streptophyta; Magnoliopsida; Poales; Poaceae
Description: long non-coding RNA (TAES_LNC015041)
Source: RNAcentral